This 486-nucleotide ribosomal RNA is filed under the name uncultured Gordonia sp. RNAcentral's name for it is "bacterial SSU rRNA". It matches the Rfam family "Bacterial small subunit ribosomal RNA", at positions 32 to 540 of the family's 1533-position model. Lineage: Bacteria; Bacillati; Actinomycetota; Actinomycetes; Mycobacteriales; Gordoniaceae. The record is from RNAcentral.
AACGCUGGCGGCGUGCUCACACAUGCAGUCGAACGGAAAGGCCAGCUUGCUGGGUACUCGAGUGGCGAACGGGUGAGUAACACGUGGGUGAUCUGCCCUGGACUCUGGGAUAAGCCUGGAAACUGGGUCUAAUACCGGAUAUGACCUUACAUCGCAUGGUGUUUGGUGGAAAGCUUUUGCGGUUCAGGAUGGGCCCGCGGCCUAUCAGCUUGUUGGUGGGGUAAUGGCCUACCAAGGCGACGACGGGUAGCCGACCUGAGAGGGUGAUCGGCCACACUGGGACUGAGACACGGCCCAGACUCCUACGGGAGGCAGCAGUGGGGAAUAUUGCACAAUGGGCGCAAGCCUGAUGCAGCGACGCCGCGUGAGGGAUGACGGCCUUCGGGUUGUAAACCCCUUUCAGCGGGGAAGAUAAUGACGGUACCCGCAGAAGAAGCCCCGGCUAACUCCGUGCCAGCAGCCGCGGUAAUACGGAGGGGGCUAGCG